GAACAUCGACAUCUUGAACGC
Molecule: ribosomal RNA, 21 nt
Filed under: Paragonimus heterotremus
Lineage: Eukaryota; Metazoa; Platyhelminthes; Trematoda; Plagiorchiida; Troglotrematidae
Description: partial 5.8S ribosomal RNA
Source: RNAcentral